GUAAAGUGUCAUCGCAGAUUAGCCUGUGCAGUCCGCACAUGCUAAUCAGGGAUUACACUUUCCGCUUUUAUGGUAUUUUUAAUUUCAAGGAAGUCCCUCCUUACCGAAAAUGAAGUUUAUGCGGAAAGUGUCGUCCCUGAUUAGCCUGUGCGGACUGCACAGGCUUACGCUAAUCUGGGAUGACACUUUACGCACAUGCACUAAGCCCAGUUUUCUCCGAAUGCGACUGAAAUAAUAACUUAUUGUAAUGUUAUGUACUUGUGUCUUGUAUUCGUUCAGUUGAAUGUCAAUAUAUUAAUACAUUUAUUUUUGUUUUCAACCUAUUAAUUAAAAUAAGGUAUUGUUUUUAAUCCGUUUUUAGUUUCGUUAUAGCUGACCUAGAUUAAAACAUUUCGUCAAAAAUUAAUAAAUAAAAUUAUUAAUAAAUUUAUGUUUUAAUAUAAUUUAUAUAUAAAUUUUGUAGGUGUGUGUUGCCAGUAAUGGUUGAAGAUAUGCCAAACAAAUUGUGCCUCUCUAUACAGACAGAUUUCAGGUCUCAAUUUCGACUUCAAAGGUCAACAUAUCACUGAUAUCAGGAAUUCUGUACAACUGUGGAACCAUGUAUGGUACGUGACCGCACAAUGUUGGUUGGCAAAAGGAUAUUGGAAUAAGCAAAGGGACUCAACAUUACACAGUCAUUUCAACAUGUAGAGUCUUGUCAGCAAUGAUGGAGCAGUACAUCAGAUUUCCAGAAUCUCGUCAUGAGCUGAAGAUCAUUGCCUAUGGAUUUCAUGAAUGAUGUAGAAUGAUUGGACUGUUGAUGGAACCCACAGUGCAUGUCCUGCUUCAACAUCUGAGCAUAGGUCCUUGUUUAUCAGCAGUUUAAAUCUUCAAGCAGUCUGUGACAGUAACUUGAAAUGUUUGGACAUAUGACCUGGAUGGCCAAGUUCUGUGCAUGAUGCCCAUUUAAAUAGGAACGGCCCAGUGGCGCAUUAAAUGGACAUUUUUCAAAUGUUCUCGAGGAUUCAGCUUACCGCCUGACAAGAAAUCUUGCUUUUUGUUCCGUAUCGAGGCCAUAGACAUUUGUAUCAUUUGCAAAAGAUACUGCGAUAUUUGUGCCUUUGUUCAUGCUUUAUAGUUGAUUAACAAUUGGAAGCCAUAACCUGUUUUAUAGGAUGGUGUUAGUGGGACAAUGAAUUUUGUAAAGAUUUAAAGACUGGAAAAGAUAAUUAAAAGUCAAAAGA
Long non-coding RNA from Dreissena polymorpha, 1223 nucleotides. RefSeq lists it as uncharacterized. The transcript is spliced from 3 exons. NCBI's taxonomy places the organism in Eukaryota, Metazoa, Mollusca, Bivalvia, Myida, Dreissenidae. The record is from RefSeq and is a predicted model, not a curated record.